This 1438-nucleotide ribosomal RNA is filed under the name uncultured organism. Its description in RNAcentral is "SSU rRNA". It matches the Rfam family "Bacterial small subunit ribosomal RNA". The record is from RNAcentral.
CUAGCUACAGGCUUAACACAUGCAAGUCGAGGGGCAGCAUGGUCUUAGCUUGCUAAGGCCGAUGGCGACCGGCGCACGGGUGAGUAACACGUAUCCAACCUGCCGUCUACUCUUGGACAGCCUUCUGAAAGGAAGAUUAAUACAAGAUGGCAUCAUGAGUCCACAUGUUCACAUGAUUAAAGGUAUUCCGGUAGACGAUGGGGAUGCGUUCCAUUAGAUAGUAGGCGGGGUAACGGCCCACCUAGUCUUCGAUGGAUAGGGGUUCUGAGAGGAAGGUCCCCCACAUUGGAACUGAGACACGGUCCAAACUCCUACGGGAGGCAGCAGUGAGGAAUAUUGGUCAAUGGGCGAGAGCCUGAACCAGCCAAGUAGCGUGAAGGAUGACUGCCCUAUGGGUUGUAAACUUCUUUUAUAAAGGAAUAAAGUCGGGUAUGGAUACCCGUUUGCAUGUACUUUAUGAAUAAGGAUCGGCUAACUCCGUGCCAGCAGCCGCGGUAAUACGGAGGAUCCGAGCGUUAUCCGGAUUUAUUGGGUUUAAAGGGAGCGUAGAUGGAUGUUUAAGUCAGUUGUGAAAGUUUGCGGCUCAACCGUAAAAUUGCAGUUGAUACUGGAUAUCUUGAGUGCAGUUGAGGCAGGCGGAAUUCGUGGUGUAGCGGUGAAAUGCUUAGAUAUCACGAAGAACUCCGAUUGCGAAGGCAGCCUGCUAAGCUGCAACUGACAUUGAGGCUCGAAAGUGUGGGUAUCAAACAGGAUUAGAUACCCUGGUAGUCCACACGGUAAACGAUGAAUACUCGCUGUUUGCGAUAUACAGCAAGCGGCCAAGCGAAAGCGUUAAGUAUUCCACCUGGGGAGUACGCCGGCAACGGUGAAACUCAAAGGAAUUGACGGGGGCCCGCACAAGCGGAGGAACAUGUGGUUUAAUUCGAUGAUACGCGAGGAACCUUACCCGGGCUUAAAUUGCAGAUGAAUUACGGUGAAAGCCGUAAGCCGCAAGGCAUCUGUGAAGGUGCUGCAUGGUUGUCGUCAGCUCGUGCCGUGAGGUGUCGGCUUAAGUGCCAUAACGAGCGCAACCCUUGUUGUCAGUUACUAACAGGUUCCGCUGAGGACUCUGACAAGACUGCCAUCGUAAGAUGUGAGGAAGGUGGGGAUGACGUCAAAUCAGCACGGCCCUUACGUCCGGGGCUACACACGUGUUACAAUGGGGGGUACAGAGGGCCGCUACCACGCGAGUGGAUGCCAAUCCCAAAAACCUCUCUCAGUUCGGACUGGAGUCUGCAACCCGACUCCACGAAGCUGGAUUCGCUAGUAAUCGCGCAUCAGCCACGGCGCGGUGAAUACGUUCCCGGGCCUUGUACACACCGCCCGUCAAGCCAUGGGAGCCGGGGGUACCUGAAGUGCGUAACCGCGAGGAGCGCCCUAGGGUAAAACUGGUGAAAGG